AAUGACAAAUGUAAACAUCUG
This 21-nucleotide small nuclear RNA is filed under the name Arabidopsis thaliana (thale cress). Its description in RNAcentral is "snRNA_11789". The record is from RNAcentral. Lineage: Eukaryota; Viridiplantae; Streptophyta; Magnoliopsida; Brassicales; Brassicaceae.